GACGAACGCUGGCGGCGUGCCUAAUACAUGCAAGUAGAACGCUGAAGAGAGGAGCUUGCUCUUCUUGGAUGAGUUGCGAACGGGUGAGUAACGCGUAGGUAACCUGCCUGGUAGCGGGGGAUAACUAUUGGAAACGAUAGCUAAUACCGCAUGAAAUUGAUUAUUGCAUGAUAGUCAAUUAAAAGGUGCAACUGCACCACUACCAGAUGGACCUGCGUUGUAUUAGCUAGUUGGUGAGGUAACGGCUCACCAAGGCGACGAUACAUAGCCGACCUGAGAGGGUGAUCGGCCACACUGGGACUGAGACACGGCCCAGACUCCUACGGGAGGCAGCAGUAGGGAAUCUUCGGCAAUGGACGGAAGUCUGACCGAGCAACGCCGCGUGAGUGAAGAAGGUUUUCGGAUCGUAAAGCUCUGUUGUAAGAGAAGAACGAGUGUGAGAGUGGAAAGUUCACACUGUGACGGUAUCCUU
Molecule: ribosomal RNA, 472 nt
Filed under: Streptococcus cristatus
Lineage: Bacteria; Bacillati; Bacillota; Bacilli; Lactobacillales; Streptococcaceae
Description: bacterial SSU rRNA
Rfam family: Bacterial small subunit ribosomal RNA
Source: RNAcentral